CGCCGGCUUAAGUCCCUUGGAACAGGGCGUCAUAGAGGGUGAGAAUCCCGUAUGCGGCCGGUGAUCGAGUCCAAUGUGAAACCCCUUCGACGAGUCGAGUUGUUUGGGAAUGCAGCUCUAAAUGGGUGGUAAAUUUCAUCUAAAGCUAAAUACUGGCCAGAGACCGAUAGCGCACAAGUAGAGUGAUCGAAAGAUGAAAAGCACUUUGGAAAGAGAGUUAAAAAGUACGUGAAAUUGUUGAAAGGGAAGCGCUUGCAGCCAGACCUGUCGUCGGGUGAUCAGCCGUCGUUUUCGGCGGUGCACUCGCCCGGUCGCAGGCCAGCAUCGGUUUGGGCGGUUGGAUAAAGGCCGCGGGAACGUAGCUCCCCUCGGGGAGUGUUAUAGCCCAUGGUGCAAUGUAGCCAGCCCGGAUCGAGGAUCGCGCUUCGGCUAGGAUGCUGGCGUAAUGGUUGUAAGCGGCCCGUCUUGAAACACGGACCAAGGAGUCUAACAUCUACGCAAGUGUUUGGGUGUCAAACCCAUGCGCGGAAUGAAAGUGAACGGAGGUGAGACCCCCUUAAGGGCGCAUCACCGACCGAUCCAGAUGUCUUCGGAUGGAUUUGAGUAAGAGCGUAGCUGUUGGGACCCGAAAGAUGGUGAACUAUGCCUGAAUAGGGUGAAGCCAGAGGAAACUCUGGUGGAGGCUCGCAGCGGUUCUGACGUGCAAAUCGAUCGUCAAAUUUGGGUAUAGGGGCGCUUUUUCGCCCCUCACAGCCUGCAUCGCAGGCUCUAGUCCUCUGGGCGAGGCUCACGAUCUACGGGGAUGUCUGCCGCCAGCGGACUGCCCGUACCCACCCGGUUACCCGGGUCUGGGCCACAGAUCAAGCGUAGGCCGGCGGUUGUCCGAUGU
This 889-nucleotide ribosomal RNA is filed under the name Diplotomma alboatrum. RNAcentral's name for it is "partial large subunit ribosomal RNA". It matches the Rfam family "Eukaryotic large subunit ribosomal RNA", at positions 174 to 929 of the family's 3401-position model. The record is from RNAcentral. Lineage: Eukaryota; Fungi; Ascomycota; Lecanoromycetes; Caliciales; Caliciaceae.